This 307-nucleotide signal recognition particle RNA is filed under the name Callithrix jacchus (white-tufted-ear marmoset). RNAcentral's name for it is "Metazoan signal recognition particle RNA (ENSCJAG00000043464.3)". It matches the Rfam family "Metazoan signal recognition particle RNA". Rfam says of the family: The signal recognition particle (SRP) is a universally conserved ribonucleoprotein. Lineage: Eukaryota; Metazoa; Chordata; Mammalia; Primates; Cebidae. The record is from Rfam by way of RNAcentral.
GCCGGGCGCAGUGGUGCAUGCCUACAGUCCCAGCUACUUGGGAGGCUGAGGUGGGAGGAUCACUUCAGCCCAGGGGUUCUGGGCUGUAGUGUGCUGUGCCAGUCGGGUGUCCGCACUAAGUUCAGCAUCAAUAUGGUGAUCUACUGGGGGCGGGGGACCACCAACUUGCCUAAGGAGGGUGAACUGGCCCAGGUCAGAAACAGAGCAGGUCAAAACUCCCAUGCUGAUCAGUAGUGGGAUUGCACCUGUGAAUCUGUGAAUAGCCACUGCACUCCAGUCUGGGCAACAUAGUGAGACCCGGUCUCUU